RNAcentral lists this ribosomal RNA (253 nucleotides) under uncultured bacterium. Its description in RNAcentral is "partial 16S ribosomal RNA". It matches the Rfam family "Bacterial small subunit ribosomal RNA", at positions 524 to 776 of the family's 1533-position model. The record is from RNAcentral.
UACGUAGGUGACCAGCGUUGUCCGGAUUUACUGGGCGUAAAGAGCGCGCAGGCGGUCGUUCAAGUCGAGUGUGAAAGCCCCCGGCUCAACUGGGGAGGGUCACUCGAUACUGAUCGACUUGAAGGCAGGAGAGGGAAGCGGAAUUCCCGGUGUAGUGGUGAAAUGCGUAGAUAUCGGGAGGAACACCAGUGGCGAAGGCGACUACCUGGCCUGUUCUUGACGCUGAGGCGCGAAAGCUGGUGGAGCAAACGGG